AGAGUUUGAUCAUGGCUCAGAACGAACGCUGGCGGCGUGGAUAAGACAUGCAAGUCGAGCGAGAUUUUUCGUUGUAGCAAUACGAUGGAAAGUCUAGCGGCGAACGGGUGCUUAACACGUGGGCAACCUGCCAUGAAGUGGGGGAUAGCUCGCCGAAAGGCGAAUUAAUACCGCAUGUGAUUAGAGAGGAUAUCCUUUCGAAAUUAAAGUCGGGGCAACCUGACGCUUCUUGUGGGGCCCGCGGCCUAUCAGCUAGUUGGUGAGGUAACGGCUCACCAAGGCUUUGACGGGUAGCUGGUCUGAGAGGACGACCAGCCACACUGGGACUGAGACACGGCCCAGACACCUACGGGUGGCAGCAGUCGAGAAUUUUUGACAAUGGGGGAAACCCUGAUCGAGCGACGCCGCGUGGAGGAUGAAGGUCUUCGGAUUGUAAACUCCUGUCAUUUGGGAACAAGGCGCGUGUAUUAACUGUGCACGCGUUGAUAGUACCAGAAGAGGAAGGGACGGCUAACUCUGUGCCAGCAGCCGCGGUAAUACAGAGGUCUCAAGCGUUGUUCGGAUUCAUUGGGCGUAAAGGGUGCGUAGGCGGCGCGGUAAGUCGGGUGUGAAAUCUCGGAGCUUAACUUCGAAACUGCAUUCGAUACUGCCGUGCUUGAGGACUGGAGAGGAGACUGGAAUUUACGGUGUAGCGGUGAAAUGCGUAGAUAUCGUAAGGAAGACCAGUGGCGAAGGCGGGUCUCUGGACAGUUCCUGACGCUGAGGCACGAAGGCCAGGGGAGCAACGGGAUUAGAUACCCUAGUAGUCC
This 809-nucleotide ribosomal RNA is filed under the name uncultured bacterium. RNAcentral describes it as "bacterial SSU rRNA". It matches the Rfam family "Bacterial small subunit ribosomal RNA", at positions 8 to 796 of the family's 1533-position model. The record is from RNAcentral.